Molecule: long non-coding RNA, 213 nt
Filed under: Carica papaya (papaya)
Lineage: Eukaryota; Viridiplantae; Streptophyta; Magnoliopsida; Brassicales; Caricaceae
Description: long non-coding RNA (CPAP_LNC015361)
Source: RNAcentral
UCUCCUCACUGGAUUUUGCCACUUGGCACAAAUCCAAUGAUCUCCAUUUUCUAUAAAUAUGGACUCCUUUCUUCCAUUUCCUCAUCACUUCUAUUUCAUUCUUCAAUCUUUCAAGAGCUUAGAGAGAGGAGAAAAGAAAAAGAAGAAAGGUGUAGGAAAACUUCGAGGUUUCGAUAAAGAAUUUAAUAUUUCCUUAAACAUCUUAAGGAACAU